GGUGAAAGUUUAAAUGCCUGUAGAUGAGCUUGCGUCCGAUUAGCUAGAUGGAGUGGUAACGGCACACCAUGGCGACGAUCGGUAACUGGUCUGAGAGGAUGACCAGUCACACUGGAACUGAGACACGGUCCAGACUCCUACGGGAGGCAGCAGUGGGGAAUUUUCCGCAAUGGGCGAAAGCCUGACGGAGCAAUACCGCGUGAGGGACGAAGGUCUGUGGAUUGUAAACCUCUUUUGUUAGGGAAGAUAAUGACGGUACCUAACGAAUAAGCAUCGGCUAACUCCGUGCCAGCAGCCGCGGUAAGACGGAGGAUGCAAGCGUUAUCCGGAAUUAUUGGGCGUAAAGCGUACGUAGGCGGUUUUAUAAGUCUGUUGUCAAAGCCCGAGGCUUAACCUUGGAAAGGCAAUGGAAACUGUAAGACUAGAGAGAGAUAGGGGCAGGAGGAAUUCCAGGUGUAGCGGUGAAAUGCGUAGAUAUCUGGAAGAACACCAGUGG
This 496-nucleotide ribosomal RNA is filed under the name Pseudanabaena sp. 0ES31S3. Its description in RNAcentral is "bacterial SSU rRNA". It matches the Rfam family "Bacterial small subunit ribosomal RNA", at positions 199 to 715 of the family's 1533-position model. Lineage: Bacteria; Bacillati; Cyanobacteriota; Cyanophyceae; Pseudanabaenales; Pseudanabaenaceae. The record is from RNAcentral.